Cyanistes caeruleus (blue tit) is the source of this 1169-nucleotide long non-coding RNA. RefSeq lists it as uncharacterized. The record is from RefSeq and is a predicted model, not a curated record. Lineage: Eukaryota; Metazoa; Chordata; Aves; Passeriformes; Paridae.
CUCCGCGCCCGCGAAGGCCCGAGAGCAGCCCCGAGCAGGCUGCGCGCCUGCGGGGCCCCGGGCAGCAACCUGCUGCGGCCGGCGAGCCGCGCAAACAAAGCCUGCGAUUUUCCCUCCAGUUAGAACCCCAUCUAAUAUCAGGGGGCAAAACCGAAGCCCAUCUGCCAGGGCAGCAGGGCCUUCUUCACACAUGUGUGCAUAGGAAUGGCUUGACAGAAGUGGAGAGUGACCCAACCCAGCACAUCUUUUUCACCAGGCCAGGCAGAUGCAGAAAGGAGCUGUGUGGAAGCAACAACUCACGUGUGUUUAAAAACGCUCCCAAGCAUCCCAGGCAGUUUGGAGAGCGGUAGGGAGUGUCAGCGGCACGAGUCAGACAGCUGGGGGUACACGAGUGGGGAAGAAUUAACUUUGCCCUAGCUUUCAGCACUGGGUUGUCUGUCUGCCUGUGUGAAGAGAAAUGUGACCACACCAGCAGCAGUUUGGGAACACUGUAACGCUUGGUAUUAUAGACGAGGCAAACAUGGUGCCAGCUCAGAGCAUGACAGGUCAGGUGUCUCUUGAGUGCCCAAAAGAACAGCACAGGCCGAAAGUCAGACCAGUUGCUUUAUAUGUAUGAGACCCAGGAUCAUACAUCAAGCAACUAGUUGUACUAUUGAUUUUAAGUUGGCUGCUGGUGGUCCACAACAACCAAGGGUACAAAGUGAGGAAUUUUAUCCCUCCCUUGUUUUCCUAGUACAUCAAGGAGUACAGUGAGCUGGUAGAUAGAGUGCACAGAACACCAAGUAGAGGACUGAGAUUUGAAACUGGGGUAUUCCUGGCCUUUUUCUUAAAGAAUUGAAUAAAUGUGUUCUGACAAAACCUUAUGGAAUAGAUGGGCAUAAAUCUAAAAGCAGCACAAUCUGGAUUUAUUCCUACCAUGGUAAAAAGCCCUGACUGAGCCACAGUGAAGGUUCUUCUUUUUACAUGACUCCCGCCUGGUGCAAAGACUGUGAAAUGAUCCUUUCCUGCUUUCUGUGGUGGUGUCCCAAUCUCUGCUACAGACAAGAAUAUUUAACCACCUGUAAACCACCAGGGAAAGCAAAGCUGAUGCCCACGGCCAGAAGACAAACAUCAGUCUGACGUAUAAGUUGCUCCACCAAAGAAGAGUGUUUUGCAUCAUUCUAUCUGCA